GCCGGCUGAGUAGUGUACAUUAAAUUGAUUGUUUCAAGUCAGAAUUUUUAGUUGAAAGAGUAGUUUACAUUAAAUUGAUUGUUGUAGUCAAAGUUUUGGGUGUAAAUAAAUAUACACCAUCAUCUUCAUUUCAUUUUCGCGUCUCAACCCCAUCUUUAACAUUCUUGAAGUCUCUUCUAGAUCGAUUCUUCGUUAUUUCUCAUUUCUGAAUUCUCAUUCCAGAUUUGUAAUGAUCGUUCCUUGAUAUACGACGAUUCAACUAUGGAUUUAUGUUAUUUCUCCAUUCAAUUUGUUAUUGUUCUUGUUCAGAUUUGUUGCAGUAGCCUUUUUUCUAUGGAGUUCGGGUGAAAAUCGCUUUUGGUUCUAUAGAGAUUUGUUGAGGUAUGCUAUAGAUCCGAUUUAUUUCGCUUUUGUAAGGAUGGUCUUCACAUUGCAUGCUGCCAUCACCAGAAUCUUCUUGGAGACCUUCCAUCACCAUUAAAAACAGGUUUGAUCUGGUUUUUAUUCUGCUAUCGCCGGCUCAGAUUUCUGGCCUUUUAAUGCAUUUUGAUUAAUGGUUUCACUGUUUCGUUUCAUUGUGCUGGAUUGAUUCAUCAUGUUUCAAACUGUAUGAUUAGUCCAUCUGGUCUAGUCAUAAGAUUAUGAUAGUAAUUCAUGGAGUUUUCCGUAAGACUACGGCGGUUUGUAAUUUUAAGAUGAUGAAUCAGGACUUGAGAUAAAGAAGACGAUGAGUUUAUUCGGAUGAUUGAGUUGUAAUGAGAGAAAAUUUAAAGUUAAGAGUUUUGAUUUUGCGAUUUUUCCCAAGAAGAAAUAAAAGAGGAAGAUGGGGAGAACACAAUUAUUUGAUUCUGUUUGAUUUUUUUAAUGUUUAGUUAUGAAUGUUGUCUUUAUAUAAAGGAAAAAAUGUUUAGUUUGACAGAGA
Molecule: long non-coding RNA, 922 nt
Filed under: Panax ginseng (ginseng)
Lineage: Eukaryota; Viridiplantae; Streptophyta; Magnoliopsida; Apiales; Araliaceae
Description: long non-coding RNA (PGIN_LNC010181)
Source: RNAcentral